This 252-nucleotide ribosomal RNA is filed under the name uncultured bacterium. Its description in RNAcentral is "partial 16S ribosomal RNA". It matches the Rfam family "Bacterial small subunit ribosomal RNA", at positions 524 to 776 of the family's 1533-position model. The record is from RNAcentral.
UACGGAGGAUGCGAGCGUUAUCCGGAUUUAUUGGGUUUACAGAGUGCGUAGGCGGACUGUCAAGUCAGCGGUAAAAUUGAGAGGCUCAACCUCUUCCCGCCGUUGAAACUGGUGGUCUUGAGUGGAUGAGAAGUACGCGGAAUGCGUGGUGUAGCGGUGAAAUGCAUAGAUAUCACGCAGAACUCCGAUUGCGAAGGCAGCGUACCGGCAUCCAACUGACGCUGAGGCACGAAAGCGUGGGGAUCAAACAGG